Molecule: ribosomal RNA, 497 nt
Filed under: uncultured bacterium
Lineage: Bacteria
Description: partial 16S ribosomal RNA
Rfam family: Bacterial small subunit ribosomal RNA
Source: RNAcentral
GAUGAACGCUGGCGGCGUGCCUAAUACAUGCAAGUCGAGCGAACAGACGAGGAGCUUGCUCCUCUGACGUUAGCGGCGGACGGGUGAGUAACACGUGGAUAACCUACCUAUAAGACUGGGAUAACUUCGGGAAACCGGAGCUAAUACCGGAUAAUAUAUUGAACCGCAUGGUUCAAUAGUGAAAGACGGUUUUGCUGUCACUUAUAGAUGGAUCCGCGCCGCAUUAGCUAGUUGGUAAGGUAACGGCUUACCAAGGCAACGAUGCGUAGCCGACCUGAGAGGGUGAUCGGCCACACUGGAACUGAGACACGGUCCAGACUCCUACGGGAGGCAGCAGUAGGGAAUCUUCCGCAAUGGGCGAAAGCCUGACGGAGCAACGCCGCGUGAAUGAUGAAGGUCCUCGGAUCGUAAAACACUGUUAUUAGGGAAGAACAAAUGUGUAAGUAACUAUGCACGUCUUGACGGUACCUAAUCAGAAAGCCACGGCUAACUACGUG